GACGAACGCUGGCGGCGUGCCUAAUACAUGCAAGUAGAACGCUGAAGGAGGAGCUUGCUUCUCUGGAUGAGUUGCGAACGGGUGAGUAACGCGUAGGUAACCUGCCUGGUAGCGGGGGAUAACUAUUGGAAACGAUAGCUAAUACCGCAUAAUAUUGACUAUUGCAUGAUAGUCAGUUGAAAGGUGCAACUGCACCACUACCAGAUGGACCUGCGUUGUAUUUGCUAGUUGGUGGGGUAACGGCUCACCAAGGCGACGAUACAUAGCCGACCUGAGAGGGGGAUCGGCCACACUGGGACUGAGACACGGCCCAGACUCCUACGGGAGGGAGCAGUAGGGGAUCUUCGGCAAUGGACGGAAGUCUGACCGAGCAACGCCGCGUGAGUGAAGAAGGUUUUCGGAUCGUAAAGCUCUGCUGUAAGAGAAGAACGAGUGUGAGAGUGGAAAGCUCACACUGUGACGGUAGCUUACCAGAAAGGGACGGCUAACUACGUG
This 495-nucleotide ribosomal RNA is filed under the name uncultured bacterium. RNAcentral describes it as "partial 16S ribosomal RNA". It matches the Rfam family "Bacterial small subunit ribosomal RNA", at positions 28 to 507 of the family's 1533-position model. The record is from RNAcentral.